CGCCGCCGCCGCGCGGCUGUUGCGUUCGCCCGUCUGGAUCAGGCGUUUCGACAGGCUGAUGGCGGUGCUGCUGUUCGGCUCCGCGUGGUGGGGG
This 94-nucleotide transfer RNA is filed under the name Cupriavidus plantarum. RNAcentral's name for it is "tRNA-Pro". Lineage: Bacteria; Pseudomonadati; Pseudomonadota; Betaproteobacteria; Burkholderiales; Burkholderiaceae. The record is from RNAcentral.